CACACAUACAAACCAUUACAAUAGAUCAAAGUUAAUGAUGCAAUACUGUAAACAAACUUCCUUUAAGUAUAAAAGAGACUCGUUAUAUUAUUAUCUUCUAGCACAUCACAAAACGAUUAGUCGAGAUAGUAGGCUUAUUAUUAAUUACUCAUACCUCAUAUUUCGUUUACAGGAAUCUCCCAUGUGGCAUUCAUAUAAAAUCAAUGCGAAUAACAAAUUUAUAAUGGAGUCGAAAAGCAUUUUAACCAAAUCUUAACCCCAAAAAGUGACUAAUCUUGACAGACAAACAGCAGGUUAAAUAAAGGCAACAGUAGUAUACCGCUGUUCAAACCUCAUAAAUCCAUGGACAAAAAACAAAAUCGGGGUAACAAACCAAAACUGAGGGAAACGCAUUAAAUAUUAGAGGAGAACAACGACACAACAUUAAAAUGUAACACACACAGCAACGGACUAAGCAUUAGACAAGGACUAAGCAUUAGACAAAAUCCGAUGAAAGAUACCAUUGUGACAUUCGAAACAAAACUCGAAAAUAAAAUAGAUAACGCCAUGGCAAAACUGAAAACAAAUUACGAAAACCAGUGUAACAAGUCUAUACAACAUUGCAUAGAAAACCAAAGACCGAAAUCCGCAGGUUAUCUCAAGAGCUCCGGAAGGGAAAGCAUGUGCCAACAGUUGUGUUGCUUGUGUUAAGUCCAACUCAUGUGUUUAUUUUCAUACAAUGAUGUAAUAAUCGGGGAAAAUGUACGGCAGAAUGGCUACGACUAUCGGAACGUAUUCGUGGUCGUCCUUAGAAUAUCGUAUCAACUUGGAUAUUGAAUACGCGUAUAAAGUGGCUUCUGGUAUGCGACAUAUAGCAACGGAAAGUAGUCGAUUAGAAAGCUGAAAUCAUUUUAAUUAUUGUAAAGUUGUUCUCUCAAUCGACCUUCAUUGUCAUUUUUUAAAGUCAAGAAAUGAGGUAGACUUAAUCGUAUAUGUGGUAUCCUUUGAUGGGCUAGAUGAGUUCAACGUAGACUCUACAUUUUAAAUUAAGUAACGAGAUGGACUGAAGUGGAACAUGAAGUUGAAGGAUAAUGUAAGCUCCAUUUCAUUCUACUUAUGAAACAUUUUAAAAAAAGAAACAACAACCGGUUUCAACAGAAUCGUA
RNAcentral lists this long non-coding RNA (1144 nucleotides) under Mytilus galloprovincialis (Mediterranean mussel). Lineage: Eukaryota; Metazoa; Mollusca; Bivalvia; Mytilida; Mytilidae. The record is from RNAcentral.